UCCCUUGUGGCUUGGUUGGUAGAGCAUGGUGUUUGCAACACCAGGGUUGUGGGUUCGAUUCCCACGGGGGAC
Molecule: transfer RNA, 72 nt
Filed under: Salmo salar (Atlantic salmon)
Lineage: Eukaryota; Metazoa; Chordata; Actinopteri; Salmoniformes; Salmonidae
Rfam family: tRNA
About the family: Transfer RNA (tRNA) molecules are approximately 80 nucleotides in length. Their secondary structure includes four short double-helical elements and three loops (D, anti-codon, and T loops).
Source: Rfam by way of RNAcentral